GUACACCUUGGUAGAAGCUUGGGUUGUGAGGACAGUGGUGCAUCCAUCUCCAAUGUUAAAUUCACUUGAUAUAGAAUCUCCAGAGACAAUGCCACCACCAUAGGUGAGGGUGUAAAUCCAAACAGCAUCACUUUUGGAAGGACCCACCUUUGUGGGAAUGAUGAAUUUGAGAGGAUACUUAGAGAAGCAUCUUGUCACUGUUGAUUUUCCAUCUACUUUCUCCACUGUUACCUUUCCCGUUUCCAUCUCUCCACCAUCGAGUCUCGAUUGGUGAAAGCUUUUAGAAAGCCGAAUCCUCUCUUCCG
This 305-nucleotide unclassified non-coding RNA is filed under the name Hevea brasiliensis (rubber tree). Lineage: Eukaryota; Viridiplantae; Streptophyta; Magnoliopsida; Malpighiales; Euphorbiaceae. The record is from RNAcentral.